This 68-nucleotide transfer RNA is filed under the name Ictidomys tridecemlineatus (thirteen-lined ground squirrel). RNAcentral describes it as "Spermophilus tridecemlineatus (thirteen-lined ground squirrel) tRNA". It matches the Rfam family "tRNA". Rfam says of the family: Transfer RNA (tRNA) molecules are approximately 80 nucleotides in length. Their secondary structure includes four short double-helical elements and three loops (D, anti-codon, and T loops). Further hydrogen bonds mediate the characteristic L-shaped molecular structure. tRNAs have two regions of fundamental functional importance: the anti-codon, which is responsible for specific mRNA codon recognition, and the 3' end, to which the tRNAs corresponding amino acid is attached (by aminoacyl-tRNA synthetases). tRNAs cope with the degeneracy of the genetic code in two manners: having more than one tRNA (with a specific anti-codon) for a particular amino acid; and 'wobble' base-pairing, i.e. permitting non-standard base-pairing at the 3rd anti-codon position. Lineage: Eukaryota; Metazoa; Chordata; Mammalia; Rodentia; Sciuridae. The record is from Rfam by way of RNAcentral.
GGGGUUGUGGCUCAGCCGUAGAGCACUCAUCUCACACAUGUGAGACCCUGGGUUCGAUCCUCAGCCCA